UUUAUCGGUUGACUUGAAGAUACAAAAACGGCAGCCCACAUCGCAUACAUAACUCAGAUCACAUUUUUCGUCUGCUUACACAACAAGAAAGUUUCCUUGUAGUUGAGUUCACUCUUCAUCAUCAUGGUUUCUGCAUUAAAAACAAGGUUACCCAUCACGUACAGAUGCACGGGCUCAAACACAUAUACUGUGAGGGAAGUGGCCAUCCAUAAUUCAUUUCUGUUGUUCAUGUCUAGAUCACCGGAAAACAUAACAUCAACACUGUAGAUUCAAUUAUAUAGAAAGCAUACCAUCUCCAACAUGAUAAGCGUGCCUGUGACUAACCUUAACGGGUACCAUUCAGAUAUGGGGAAAAUAACAUUGAAUUAUGUUAUAUAAAUAUAUCCUCUUUCUCCCAACAACUUUUAGGUGUGUUAUUCCUCUAACAUUGAUGUGUUCAUGUUUAGCAAGAAACCACAAGUGCCAGCAGUCCAGCAGCAGAAGUAUAAGAUGUUUGGAAGUAGCGAUGGAACUAUUUCACUAAGCACCAAUCUGUGACUCCAAAUUCGAGUGAAAACACAUCGGAAAAUAUAAUCUAGCUCUUAAACAGUUUCCAUAAUACUUCAUUUUAGUUGAAGGAGUUCCCCCCUGAUUUAUUAAGUAACAGUUUCCAUAGUGCUAAGACACAUAAUGAGUGUUAACCUUUGAUAUUUUCUGUUCUCUUGUUCAACCAGGUGCUUUCCAAAUUUAAUCAUUUAAGAAACCUUUAUUUGCAUGCAAUUACAGAGAAAAAGGUGAAC
Molecule: long non-coding RNA, 779 nt
Filed under: Triticum aestivum (bread wheat)
Lineage: Eukaryota; Viridiplantae; Streptophyta; Magnoliopsida; Poales; Poaceae
Description: long non-coding RNA (TAES_LNC022179)
Source: RNAcentral